Molecule: long non-coding RNA, 576 nt
Organism: Xenopus laevis (African clawed frog)
Lineage: Eukaryota; Metazoa; Chordata; Amphibia; Anura; Pipidae
Exons: 3
Source: RefSeq, a predicted model, not a curated record
CAGGACUUGGGGGGAACUUUCCUGGUUCCCAUGUUAACAACUGGGUCUUGCACCUCAACAACAAUAACCAAAGCGCUACAGGGGGCGCCAAGGAAAUACCCGUUUUAUUCAGUGUCUGGAUGAGAAGCAAUGGAGCCUUCGGAACGAGACGCAGAGCAAUUGCAUAGUCCUGGUGUCUGUCUCUAUUGUAGAGUUGGAGAACCCAAGGAGUAAGUCCAUAAGACAGCAAGGAGUUCCUAAGAAAUGAUGCUGACACGCAGUUUUCCCUCGUGACCUGGAACGCGGAUUCUUAUUUUACGAUGUGUCAUUUCCAUGUGAAGGCCUGAUUAUUACUUUGUUUUGGAAGGGCGGCUGGCGGCUUUACAGAUGGAACCUGAUAUUACAUGGGAGAAGGGUUUGAAAAGCAGAAAAUCAAGGCAUUGCUCAUGUGGACUUUCCGAUGUUGAUUCUGUCGCUGGUUGAACUCAUUCCAGUCGUUGGUGUCAGAAAGACAUUCGCAUGUUUCGCCCUGUGCCAAAAGGGCACGUCAAGCAAAACUGCCAUCUAAGGGGUUUGGAAAGUACCAGCAAAUUUCCA